Molecule: small RNA, 343 nt
Filed under: Arabidopsis thaliana (thale cress)
Lineage: Eukaryota; Viridiplantae; Streptophyta; Magnoliopsida; Brassicales; Brassicaceae
Description: ATSL174700
Source: RNAcentral
AAAAGAAAGACACCUAAGAGAGCAAGAUUCUUGUUAUUCAUGAUAACAUUUUUGAAGAUUCAAAAAAAAUGAGUGAUUGAUGAAUUAUUUAUGGUCAGCAUCUAGUAAAAUCAUAUCGACAUAUCCAGUCAGCCUUAGUAGAAAUGCACCAAAGUGAUAUAGAGUGGAUUUCUCUCGAUCCGUGUAGAAAUGGACCACCACAUUGUCUGUUUAGAAUAUUAUAUUUUUUUGUAUAAAAUUGUAGACAUAAUCUCUUAUUAAUAAAUAUUUAAUGCAAGUUAGUUAUUUUUAAUUUUAUGAAAAGAGGUUAACUCCAAUAUGUACCAUACUACUUGAAGAAGUU